This 497-nucleotide ribosomal RNA is filed under the name uncultured bacterium. Its description in RNAcentral is "partial 16S ribosomal RNA". It matches the Rfam family "Bacterial small subunit ribosomal RNA", at positions 28 to 507 of the family's 1533-position model. The record is from RNAcentral.
GAUGAACGCUGGCGGCGUGCCUAAUACAUGCAAGUCGAGCGAACAGACGAGGAGCUUGCUCCUCUGACGUUAGCGGCGGACGGGUGAGUAACACGUGGAUAACCUACCUAUAAGACUGGGAUAACUUCGGGAAACCGGAGCUAAUACCGGAUAAUAUAUUGAACCACAUGGUUCAAUAGUGAAAGACGGUUUUGCUGUCACUUAUAGAUGGAUCCGCGCCGCAUUAGCUAGUUGGUAAGGUAACGGCUUACCAAGGCAACGAUGCGUAGCCGACCUGAGAGGGUGAUCGGCCACACUGGAACUGAGACACGGUCCAGACUCCUACGGGAGGCAGCAGUAGGGAAUCUUCCGCAAUGGGCGAAAGCUUGACGGAGCAACGCCGCGUGAGUGAUGAAGGUCUUCGGAUCGUAAAACUCUGUUAUUAGGGAAGAACAAAUGUGUAAGUAACUAUGCACGUCUUGACGGUACCUAAUCAGAAAGCCACGGCUAACUACGUG